CUUGUUGUAUCAAACACUCUGUCAAAUUUUCAAUUUUCAGUCUUUCCCUCCACAAAUUUUACUUUUAUAUCGACUCGUAUUUAAGGGAACUCAACACUCUCUCUCUUCCUCAGCCGCAAGCCCAAUUCUCUCUUCUUUCUCCCUUCCACUUCUCUCUGGCCUCGCAGGAGACCACUAUUUCCAGCCACCAGUUCACGACAUCACCACCACCAAUCAUUUCAGGAACCAAUUCCGAUCAAAACCCAACGAGAUCACUAUCAUCCACACAGCCGCCAGCCUCCUCACACGACCAUCAAAGUCGAGACGGCGCUGGUCCCUAUCUCUCAUCGAGUUCCAGCUGUUUCCUCAACACACCUCCACCAUUAUUGUGCUAAGAGGAAGUCAGACAUCAAAAUCCAGAAGCCUCGCCGGUGACUCACUCUUGGAGGACCACGCACGGGCCAUCGCCGGAACCCGAGACUCUGGGUUUCUCUGGUCUUCCUUCUCCAAAUCGAAUCAAGCUCUAAUACCUACAUUAGAGUGUCGAAACUAGAGGCUUUGACGCGAUACUGUGGUAUUUGUCAUCGAAAGAAAUUCCGAAGAAAGGAAAACAAUAGAAGCUCUUGCGUUGUUGGGAUCGGGGGAAGAGAAGAAGAGGUUUUUCAUCGAAGGUGAUGUUUUAUUGAUGUCUGUGGUUUUGAAUCGGUGGAUUUUGCUGUGGUUGGGUUUCGAUUGAUCUUGCUUUUUAUGUUUUGUUGAGGUUUUAUGCAAAGGAGUAUUUGGGUUGUUCUUUUGCCGGUGUUCCUGGUUUGGUUAGUUGGUGUUACUUGGUUGUGCUGCUGUGAAUCAGCAUAACGUCCAAUUGCAGCAAAAAUAUGGUUAAUUAAACUUCAACUCUUUAUCUGCAUUCAAUUUUCAAUCGACAUUGUUUAGCUCUGCUUAAUCAAAUCGUUAAAGUAUAGUAAUUUCUGAUUCUUUGCUUGCUCUGUACAGAGAGCGAGACAGAGAGAUGUGCUGCUAAUGUAGAAGUAAGUGCUACUUGGUCCCUAUCAGUUUCUACUAUGUUUGAAACAAGGAGAAGUCCUUUGAGUUCAUAUUGAUGAUUCAACAUGAUCUUUUUUUUUAUCAUAACCUGAUAUAUAAUAGGUGAACUAUAUGCUCAGGCAUUUUUAAGAAAAGGAGAGCCACAUCUAGUGGAACCUGUAAUUGAUAGCAGCAGGUUUGUCCUAUUUUUCCAUAAAAUUGUACAAUCUAUAUGUGUCUUGUGAGGUUUAUAUAUCAGUCGACUACAAUACUCACGUAGAUUGAAUUUAUCGAGUCUUAUAACUUAUGUGAAUUUUAUUUUAUCAUUCUGAGGGUGUUGGCAAGUUGAUGUAUGUUUUGUUCUGCAGAUACUUUGUUCUUCGUGUAGAGGAGAACAUUAGAGAGCUGCUGGCCUCUUUUAAAAUCUCUUUUAUAAUGAAUUCUAUUAGCCACGUAUAUAAAGUUGCUUUUGAUUCUUUUUCUUAUCCAUUUUUAACUUGCAAGGCUCUGAAACUUUUAUAGAUGCCUGUUAGUGAGACAACUAAAAUUUCAAAGCCCUUAAUCUGGGCAUGUUGGUUCAGUAUCAUAGAUGGGAGCUGUCUACCUCUGAAAAAUGUUGUAUUUGUUACUCUGAAUUCAUAGAUAUUGUUACUAUAACAUUGUCAUCUUAUCAAAGAAAAACAAAAAUAGGAUAAGAAAAGAUGAAAAUGGAAGAUAACUAUCCUAUGUGAUCUCUGCAUUUUCCUACAGAUGGUUUCUGCAGGAUAGAAAGUAGGAUAUCCCUAGAAGGCCAGGCUACACUGAUAAGGUGAAGUUAGUGCCUAGAUACAAAUGUGAUGGACAUUAGAGAAUAUGCAGGAUUUCAAUUAAUUGUCUUAUAUACUGGAACAUAUUUUUAACUUGUGCUUAUCAGUGCGCCACCAUGUGGUGAUAUAAACCAAAGACCUAUAUGCCCUACAGUUUUUGCAGAGUAAUGAUGUCACCAUUUAGUAUCAGGUCCUUUAUUUUUUAUUUCUGUUUUGGUGACAAAUUUCUUUAUGCUUCUUUGCAAAUGCCAGGUUUAUUCAAAAGAUUCUGUAUAACUAAAUGGGAGGAGGAAUUCCCCAUCAGGCAAAUAGUUGUUACAAGGGUCACUUCAUAUCACUAUCCUAUUCCACUGGAUUCAAACCAGCUAUAAGGAUCUUGCCGUGGUAUACUAGAAGAGACUUUCCAUGUAGGGUGAAAAGGGUGCUUAUCUAACUUCCAUCAUUCAUACAUACAUAAAGGAGAGGCAUCAAGGCACAAUCACUUUUGGAGUAAAAUCAAGAUCGAGACAAGGGGGAGUGACAACGAAAGUAUGGACUGUUGUUGAUGCAGCUUCUGCUGGCAUCCUUGUUGUCCUCACAGGGUGUUCUUCAAGACUUGGUUGGUUUCAACAUUUAAUUUAGAAAACUAGUUCUGUUAAUGGAAUGACUUUGUUGGAUAUAUGGAUGAAUGUAUCAGAUAUUUACAUAAAUGAAUGUGUUUUGGAUGUGAUGUCAUUUUGAUUC
Rosa rugosa (rugosa rose) is the source of this 2531-nucleotide long non-coding RNA. RefSeq lists it as uncharacterized. The record is from RefSeq and is a predicted model, not a curated record. NCBI's taxonomy places the organism in Eukaryota, Viridiplantae, Streptophyta, Magnoliopsida, Rosales, Rosaceae. The transcript is spliced from 4 exons.